UACGGGGGGGGCAAGCGUUGUUCGGAAUUACUGGGCGUAAAGGGCUCGUAGGCGGCCAACUAAGUCGGAUGUGAAAUCCCCAGGCUUAACCUGGGAACUGCAUCCGAUACUGGAUGGCUUGAAUCCGGGAGAGGGAUGCGGAAUUCCAGGUGUAGCGGUGAAAUGCGUAGAUAUCAGGAGGAACACCGGUGGCGAAGGCGGGUCUCUGGGCCGAUACUGACGCUGAGGAGCGAAAGCGUGGGGAGCGAACAGG
Molecule: ribosomal RNA, 253 nt
Filed under: uncultured bacterium
Lineage: Bacteria
Description: partial 16S ribosomal RNA
Rfam family: Bacterial small subunit ribosomal RNA
Source: RNAcentral